RNAcentral lists this ribosomal RNA (484 nucleotides) under uncultured bacterium. RNAcentral describes it as "partial 16S ribosomal RNA". It matches the Rfam family "Bacterial small subunit ribosomal RNA", at positions 30 to 507 of the family's 1533-position model. The record is from RNAcentral.
AUUGAACGCUGGCGGCAGGCCUAACACAUGCAAGUCGAGCGGAUGAAGGGAGCUUGCUCCUGGAUUCAGCGGCGGACGGGUGAGUAAUGCCUAGGAAUCUGCCUGGUAGUGGGGGAUAACGUCCGGAAACGGGCGCUAAUACCGCAUACGUCCUGAGGGAGAAAGUGGGGGAUCUUCGGACCUCACGCUAUCAGAUGAGCCUAGGUCGGAUUAGCUAGUUGGUGGGGUAAAGGCCUACCAAGGCGACGAUCCGUAACUGGUCUGAGAGGAUGAUCAGUCACACUGGAACUGAGACACGGUCCAGACUCCUACGGGAGGCAGCAGUGGGCAAUAUUGGACAAUGGGCGAAAGCCUGAUCCAGCCAUGCCGCGUGUGUGAAGAAGGUCUUCGGAUUGUAAAGCACUUUAAGUUGGGAGGAAGGGCAGUAAGUUAAUACCUUGCUGUUUUGACGUUACCAACAGAAUAAGCACCGGCUAACUUCGUG